CAUUCAGUGUGGAGCCCCACGCAGGGCUCGAUCUCCACCCUGAGAUCAUGACCCGAGCUGAAAUCAAGAGUCAGAUGCCCCCCACAGUGCAUCUUUUGACGUGCAAUUUCCUCAUUCACUUGUCCUCAACCAGAGUUUCUAAACUUGAGUGUGGUAACGGGUCAAAUGGUGCCCUCCCUGCCUCCGCCAAGAGAGGUCUCCGGAACUUGUGAAGGUGAGCGGAUAGGCUGUUUUUGCAGGUGUAAUAACGCGCGGGUCUCCAGCCGGGGGCGCUAUAUCCAGGGACGAGCGUCCUUGGGAGAACCGGCGCAUGAGCAGACGCAGGGAGGGAAGACAUUGUGAAGACCAGGCAGACGCCGCAGCGGGGCAGCCUCGAGGAGCGCGGCAGCAAGAGCUGGAAGAGGCGAAAGGAGCCUUCGAAGCGAGUGCUGCCCUGCCCACACUUCCAGAACUGUGAGAAAUUAAGACCCGGAUCAUCAUGUAUGAAGUUCAGCUAUCCUACUGGAUAGACCACGUGGAGAGGCUCUGCAAAUACAGAAAGAGGGAGAACGCCUAGCUGAGACCUACCUGAUGGCCAUCCUUGUCAAAAUAAGAAGUUUGUGAGUGAAACCUGCAUAGAUCCUUCAAAUCAGCCCUGUUUUCAGGUAAUAGAGGGUGAACAGGUGUUCAUCCACAUCAGAGAAAUAUGAGGCCGACAUCAUGACCUAAGAACAGAACAAAGCCCUCCAGCCUUACGAUUUGGAGAAUCGUUAUGGAAUGAUUGGAGUUUCUGUUUUUGGCAACACCGUGAUGUCUCAAGAUACCUGAGUUCAAAGCUUGCAUGUUCCAUUUCAGGCAUUCUUACUUCUUCUAUAACCAGUGUCUUCCUGUUUGCAGUGGCAGGCGAGUCUCAAGAUGUGUAUGACACUUCUGGAAAACUGUUGUCUCUCUCACCAAAUGAGUCUGUGAAGAUUUGAGAAGAGCCAGAGAGAAAACACCCCCAAGAAAUCAUCAUAUAAACACUCUUCUAAGGAGAUUCUCUUUGAAUUUCAUUUGCUGUGUCUCCUCAAAGCACGGCUACAGUUUGUCCACAGAAAGUCAUUGUGUUCUGAGCUGUGCUGUGGUGUUUUUUCUGCCCGUCAUCUGAAACAGCAAAGCAGGGGCUUGUCAAUGAGGCGCCACUGAAUGG
Molecule: long non-coding RNA, 1168 nt
Organism: Lutra lutra (Eurasian river otter)
Lineage: Eukaryota; Metazoa; Chordata; Mammalia; Carnivora; Mustelidae
Exons: 6
Source: RefSeq, a predicted model, not a curated record